RNAcentral lists this ribosomal RNA (492 nucleotides) under uncultured bacterium. Its description in RNAcentral is "partial 16S ribosomal RNA". It matches the Rfam family "Bacterial small subunit ribosomal RNA", at positions 29 to 507 of the family's 1533-position model. The record is from RNAcentral.
AUUGAACGCUGGCGGCAUGCUUUACACAUGCAAGUCGAACGGUAACGGGCCUUCGGGUGCUGACGAGUGGCGAACGGGUGAGUAAUGCAUCGGAACGUACCCAGAGGUGGGGGAUAACGCAGCGAAAGCUGUGCUAAUACCGCAUGUGAUCUGAGGAUGAAAGCGGGGGACCGAGCAGCAAUGUUUGGCCUCGCGCCUUUGGAGCGGCCGAUGUCGGAUUAGCUAGUUGGUGGGGUAAAGGCCUACCAAGGGGACGAUCCGUAGCUGGUCUGAGAGGACGAGCAGCCACACUGGGACUGAGCGACGGCACAGAGUCCUAGGGGAGGCAGCAGUGGGGAAUUUUGGACAAUGGGCGCAAGCCUGAUCCAGCAAUGCCGCGUGCGGGAAGAAGGCCUUCGGGUUGUAAACCGCUUUUGGCAGGAACGAAACGGUGUCCGCUAAUACCGGGCGCUAAUGACGGUACCUGCAGAAUAAGCACCGGCUAACUACGUG